Molecule: ribosomal RNA, 560 nt
Filed under: uncultured bacterium
Lineage: Bacteria
Description: bacterial SSU rRNA
Rfam family: Bacterial small subunit ribosomal RNA
Source: RNAcentral
GAACGCUGGCGGCAUGCCUUACACAUGCAAGUCGAACGGUAACAGGUCUUCGGAUGCUGACGAGUGGCGAACGGGUGAGUAAUACAUCGGAACGUGCCCGAGAGUGGGGGAUAACGGAGCGAAAGCUUUGCUAAUACCGCAUACGAUCUACGGAUGAAAGCAGGGGACCGCAAGGCCUUGCGCUCAUGGAGCGGCCGAUGGCAGAUUAGGUAGUUGGUGGGAUAAAAGCUUACCAAGCCGACGAUCUGUAGCUGGUCUGAGAGGACGACCAGCCACACUGGGACUGAGACACGGCCCAGACUCCUACGGGAGGCAGCAGUGGGGAAUUUUGGACAAUGGGCGCAAGCCUGAUCCAGCCAUGCCGCGUGCAGGAUGAAGGCCUUCGGGUUGUAAACUGCUUUUGUACGGAACGAAAAGACUCCUUCUAAUAAAGGGGGUCCAUGACGGUACCGUAAGAAUAAGCACCGGCUAACUACGUGCCAGCAGCCGCGGUAAUACGUAGGGUGCAAGCGUUAAUCGGAAUUACUGGGCGUAAAGCGUGCGCAGGCGGUUAUAUAAGA